CAUUUCUCUGCCUGAACUGCUUGAUGUGUGGGAUUCACGGAAAAAGUGAUUAAUUAGAAAUUACCUGGCAAGGGAAGAAUAGCUACUUUGAAGCAUGAAAAUAUCCUGUUGACAUUGAAAAGACUUCUACAUUGAAUGCAAAUGAAUACAUUCCUGAGACACUGAGUAACUAAACAAGCAAAUGAAUUUCUGAAGGUGACAAAAUUUUACCUUGCUUUCAAACAAUAAUGUGCACAUACUUCCAGGUAAACUUUUUCUGUACUUUUACUCCAGAGCACUGCACUGUGUCUCAAGCAGGGUCUUUGAAGGACUUUUUAACACAGAAGGUAACUGAUCCAUCUCAGGUUGGAAAGAGAAAUGUCACUUUUCAGCUUCUACUGGGGAUAGAAAUCUCUAUAGACAACUCAGGAAAGAGGGAUUCUUACCUCACUAGCUGGACUUCAUCAUCUGUGGACUCCUCAUCUCCUUUCUCAUCAGAAUAAUGCUUGAUUAUGGUAAGAGAUCAGCAGUGCAAGGUGUAAGUGGACAACUUUCUGAAAUGAAUGCAUAUCUAAUUUCAGCUACUAACUCAUCACCUUUCAAACAUUUGCAAAGUAUGAUAUAUCAAGAACACAAAGCUACUUUCAUUUCUUUAAUAUUGUGGUAAAAAAGUCAGAACUCUCCAGUGAUUUUUCUGUUUCUUUAGAGGAAAAACAGCAGCGUAUUACUGGAAGCCUGUACACAAGCAGAGAUUAAAAAGUGAAAGAGACUUAGUAAAUUUAGCAAAUUCUUAAUAAAAGUAGAAAUUUCAAAAUGGACAAUACUCAGCAGGAAAUAUUUUAGUAUGGAGGAGGAGAUGUACACAGUGUGGUGAAUACAUUCUGUAAUGUUUCUGCACAUAUUUUGCAAUGAUAAAAAGAGAAUGUUCACCACUUGAGGAGACUCUACGUUUUUCAUGCAAGGCGCAGAAGGAAGUGCUACAGCAUCCUCUCCUGUUGGGAAACACAGCAAUGAGGAGAACAGGAUAAGGGGAAAAGGUCAUCUGAAAAGAGACAGCAGUACCAGAACUCUGUGUCUCUCUCUCAGGCAUACACCAAGCCUACAACUCUGCCUGCACACAGACCAGGGCUGUCUCUUGAAUAUCUCAGAUUUCACUUAGCCACAACUGGAGACUGUGACUCUGUAAGUCCAACCAACCCCUUCCAGGAGGGAUCUGUCUGGGCUGCUGCCAUUGCUAUGUGAGAGGAAAAAGCAGCCCUCGCAAUGUAUAGAUCAGCAGGAAGAGUGAGAGGGGUGUGAGACAAGGCUGGCUUGGGUAACUUCUAACAAAUUCAGGAGACUACCUGGAUGAACAAAAACUCCCUGAUCACUCAGACACAUAAUGAGAUUGGUAAAAAUGCGAGAAAGCUGCCUGCAGGUAACCUGUCAGACUGACAGUGUAAUGUUUGGGGCUGGACCAAUACCUUUGCUCUAUCUUUAGGUACAAAACCAGGCUGAUGCAGACCUACGUUCAACCCCACCCCAACAACCCAGCCAGCUCCUGCAGGCCGCUCCUCUCUUCCUGUGCUCUCUGAAUCAGUGGAAACAAAAGGCAGCAUUGUCUGGACAAGUGAAUCAUUUCCCGAUGAUUCCCAGAAAAGCUCGACAGUGGAACAGAAAACCUAUGGAUACAUUAUCUUGUCUUACUUUUUUAUCACUUUCUCAUUGCAUCCCUGCAGAAGUGCAGUGAUUAUUUAACACAUAGAGACUGGGGGGAGCUGUCUAUUGCUCAUGGGUUGCUGUACACUCACAGUUCU
This is a non-coding RNA of Cyanistes caeruleus (blue tit), 1775 nucleotides long. Lineage: Eukaryota; Metazoa; Chordata; Aves; Passeriformes; Paridae. The record is from RefSeq and is a predicted model, not a curated record.